This 378-nucleotide ribosomal RNA is filed under the name uncultured bacterium. RNAcentral's name for it is "bacterial SSU rRNA". It matches the Rfam family "Bacterial small subunit ribosomal RNA", at positions 524 to 898 of the family's 1533-position model. The record is from RNAcentral.
UACGUAGGGCGCGAGCGUUGUCCGGAAUUAUUGGGCGUAAAGAGCUCGUAGGCGGCUUGUCGCGUCUGCUGUGAAAUCCCUGGGCUUAACUCUGGGCGUGCAGUGGGUACGGGCAGGCUAGAGUGCGGUAGGGGUGAUUGGAAUUCCUGGUGUAGCGGUGGAAUGCGCAGAUAUCAGGAGGAACACCGAUGGCGAAGGCAGGUCACUGGGCCGUUACUGACGCUGAGGAGCGAAAGCAUGGGGAGCGAACAGGAUUAGAUACCCUGGUAGUCCAUGCUGUAAACGUUGGGCACUAGGUGUGGGGGGCCUUUCCGGGUUUUCUGCGCCGUAGCUAACGCAUUAAGUGCCCCGCCUGGGGAGUACGGCCGCAAGGCUAAA